UAAUACAUAAGUAACCUGCCCUAGACAGGGGGAUAACUAUUGGAAACGAUAGCUAAGACCGCAUAGGUGCGGACACUGCAUGGUGACCGUAUUAAAAGUGCCUCAAAGCACUGGUAGAGGAUGGACUUAUGGCGCAUUAGCUGGUUGGCGGGGUAACGGCCCACCAAGGCGACGAUGCGUAGCCGACCUGAGAGGGUGACCGGCCACACUGGGACUGAGACACGGCCCAG
This 230-nucleotide ribosomal RNA is filed under the name uncultured bacterium. Its description in RNAcentral is "partial 16S ribosomal RNA". It matches the Rfam family "Bacterial small subunit ribosomal RNA", at positions 111 to 334 of the family's 1533-position model. The record is from RNAcentral.